CUAAGAGGAUGUUCUGUUUCUUGGGCUCAGUACAGGAUAGCAAUUCACUGCCAUACAGGUAACGUUGAAUGCAAAGUGGAAAAGUGCAAAUGGUCCUAUCAUCACUCCCCCCGGAAUAUUUCUCAGACAAAGAUAUUGAUGUCUUCAUUGCAUGGAUUUCACUGCUACAAGUAGCCAUAGAAAUGCAAGCAGGCAGAGGCUUACAAAGCUCUGGGAGGUGAAACAAUAUGCCUGGAAGCAUAAAGUGACAUUGGUUAAGACACCGUCAGAAAAUGGACUGACUAGAAUUGAAUGAUAUGAGAAGCAAAGCUGCACUAGGAAAGGCCGCUGAUCUGGCUGAGCAAAGUAACACCUACAAGUCCCAAGCAAGAUCAGAGCACAUCAUAGGACACACAUCAUAGGAAGCGGCCUGUGCCCUGAGGUGCUUCCCAUCCAAGCAAGCAAGGCACAGAAAGGAAGACAGGAGGAGUGACUUGCUACCAUCACCUGGCUGAGCAGUGCCGGAGCCAAGGAUCAGUCUCUUCAGCCCCCACCCAGUGCCUUAUGCAUCAGAGCAUGCUGCCUCUCUCCCGCUGACGUCCGUGGCAAAGCUGCUCUUGAUGUCUCAUCAUUUGAACUAUGCACCAUGGGUUUAAUGGGAAAUAUUUAGUUGCAUUAGCAGUGGGCAGGAUCUGGGGCUGUUUCAUGGGAAUACACAGUAAUAACCUGGAAGCUUAUUCAGGGCAUUUUGUUUUAGGCUCCUUCUACAAGUUCUCAUCUAGUAUGAAUGCCGGAGAGAAGAUGUUUUUCAGCCUGGUUAUUUUUCUCUCUCUGUGGCAGAGCGGCCGAGCGACAAGCCAGAGGCUUCAAAGCUCGAAGGGAGAAGUUUAUCUCAUCUG
This is a long non-coding RNA of Alligator sinensis (Chinese alligator), 878 nucleotides long. RefSeq lists it as uncharacterized. The record is from RefSeq and is a predicted model, not a curated record. The transcript has 3 exons. Lineage: Eukaryota; Metazoa; Chordata; Crocodylia; Alligatoridae.